Molecule: long non-coding RNA, 370 nt
Organism: Cryptotermes secundus
Lineage: Eukaryota; Metazoa; Arthropoda; Insecta; Blattodea; Kalotermitidae
Exons: 3
Source: RefSeq, a predicted model, not a curated record
AAUAAGUUAAUAUUACGUUUUGUAGGAUAAUUGUAAAUGUGCACGAAUGUAUAUUUUGUGGAAGGCAAACAGAACAUGGAUCCAGUUACGUCUUCUAGACUGAUAAUGGUGCCGAGAGAAGUAAUACUUCAUGCCGAAAGCAUUAAAUAAUCAAACAUAACACAGCCAGUAUCUUCAAUAUUCACAACAGAACAAUAAUGGAACAAUUUGGUAGACAGAUUGGGAUCUUCAGGGCUGUGACACUGGUAAUCUUGUGGAACCUGGGUGGCUGCACAUUAUCACAGAGGUAUCUUUUACUUACUUGGACAUGUGACUAAAUCAGCUUCAUCUUUGCUGGAGCUAAACAAAGGUUCAUCUCGAUGAGAUUUUG